Seriola dumerili (greater amberjack) is the source of this 388-nucleotide long non-coding RNA. RefSeq lists it as uncharacterized. NCBI's taxonomy places the organism in Eukaryota, Metazoa, Chordata, Actinopteri, Carangiformes, Carangidae. The transcript is spliced from 2 exons. The record is from RefSeq and is a predicted model, not a curated record.
CAGGUGGGCCGGAUGGAGCUGUGACAACAGAAACAGCCACAAAAAAGAAAGUGCUGAAAAGGAAGGAGGAGGCAACCACUGAUUUGUUGCCAGGAGUCCUCAUAAACAAUUUGAGUGAUAUAUCAGAAAGCAAGAGGAGACGUGAAAGCUCAGGCCGAGCUGUCAAUCCUUCUAAGAGUGGCUUUGAAGAAAAGGAGUUGUCACAACAUGAAACUGAACAGGGCAGACAGAGCGAGCAGCUCAAGUACUGCAGCGAAAUCCUGAAGGAAAUGCUCUCGAAAAAGCACACAGCCUACGCCUGGCCUUUCUACAAGCCUGUCGACGCUGAAGCUCUGCAACUUCACGAUUACCAUGACAUCAUUAAAUACCCCAUGGACCUCAGCACUGU